AAAGCGUGCGCAGGCGGUUUUGUAAGACUGUCGUGAAAUCCCAGGGCUCAACCUGGGAAUGGCGAUGGUGACUGCAAGGCUAGAGUUUGGCAGAGGGGGGUAGAAUUCCACGUGUAGCAGUGAAAUGCGUAGAUAUGUGGAGGAACACCGAUGGCGAAGGCAGCCCCCUGGGUCAAAACUGACGCUCAUGCACGAAAGCGUGGGGAGCAAACAGGAUUAGAUACCCCUGU
This 230-nucleotide ribosomal RNA is filed under the name uncultured bacterium. RNAcentral's name for it is "partial 16S ribosomal RNA". It matches the Rfam family "Bacterial small subunit ribosomal RNA", at positions 562 to 791 of the family's 1533-position model. The record is from RNAcentral.